GGCGACGUGGCCAAGUGGCAAGGCAAGGCUCUGCAAAAGCCUGAUCACCAGUUCGAAUCUGGUCGUCGCCUC
This 72-nucleotide transfer RNA is filed under the name uncultured bacterium. RNAcentral's name for it is "tRNA-Cys". It matches the Rfam family "tRNA". From Rfam's summary of the family: Transfer RNA (tRNA) molecules are approximately 80 nucleotides in length. Their secondary structure includes four short double-helical elements and three loops (D, anti-codon, and T loops). The record is from RNAcentral.